UACAGAGGUCUCGAGCGUUGUUCGGAUUUACUGGGCGUAAAGGGAGCGUAGGCGGUUCGGUGUGUUGAAUGUGAAAUCCCACGACUCAAUCGUGGACAUGCAUUCAAAACUGCCGGACUGGAGUACUGGAGAGGAGAGCGGAAUUCCUGGUGUAGCGGUGAAAUGCGUAGAUAUCAGGAGGAACACCGAUGGCGAAGGCAGCUCUCUGGACAGAUACUGACGCUGAGGCUCUAAAGUUAGGGGAG
This 245-nucleotide ribosomal RNA is filed under the name uncultured Pseudomonadota bacterium. RNAcentral describes it as "uncultured proteobacterium partial 16S ribosomal RNA". It matches the Rfam family "Bacterial small subunit ribosomal RNA", at positions 524 to 768 of the family's 1533-position model. The record is from RNAcentral. Lineage: Bacteria; Pseudomonadati; Pseudomonadota.